GGCUUAUAGAUGAGGGGAUACAGAUAGAUGAGUAUAACGGAUUCAGUCUGUGGUCUUAUACAUGAGGGGAUACAGAUAGAUGGAGUAUAAAGGAUUCAGUCUGUGGUCUUAUACAUGAGGGGAUACAGAUAGAUGGAGUAUAAAGUAUUCAGUCUGUGGGCUUAUAGAUGAGGGGAUACAGAUAGAUGGAGUAUAAAGUAUUCAAUCUGUGGGCUUAUAGAUGAGGGGAUACAGAUAGAUGGAGUAUAAAGUAUUCAGUCCGUGGGCUUAUAGAUGAGGGGAUACAGAUAGAUGGAGUGUAAAGUAUUCAGUCUGUGGGCUCAUAGAUGAGGGGAUACAGAUAGAUGGAGUAUAACAUUUUCAUAUUGUGGGCUUAUAGAUGAGGGGAUACAGAUGGAGUAUGAAGUAUUCAGUCUGUGGGCUUAAAGAUGAGGGGAUACAGAUGGAGUAUGAAGUAUUCAGUCUGUGGGCUUAUAGAUGAAGGGACACCAAUAGAUGGAGUAUAAAGUAUUCAGUCUGUGGGCUUAUAGAUGAGGGGAUACAGAUUGAUGGAGUAUAAAGUAUUCAGUCUGUGGGCUUAUAGAUGACGGGA
Long non-coding RNA from Oncorhynchus tshawytscha (Chinook salmon), 592 nucleotides. The record is from Ensembl. NCBI's taxonomy places the organism in Eukaryota, Metazoa, Chordata, Actinopteri, Salmoniformes, Salmonidae.